CCUGAAGCUGAGUAUUUUGUAAGAAAUGGACAUUUCCUGUCCUCAUGGUUGUGGAGAUGGGAAAUCUAAGAAUAGGACCUCAGUGUCUGCUGAGGGUUGGUGGGGGUCUUCUUGCUUAAUCAUAAUGUGGAAGAGGCCAGCACAGAGAGACAGAGGAAGCUUCUUGGAGACACCUGGCUUUUAUAGCAAAGUCACUCCCCACAAAACCUAUGAAUCCAUGAGUGGACUGAUCAGUGCCUGUGCAUGAGGGCAGAGUUCUCAUGAGCCAGUGACCUCCCAGAAAUACUUCAGUUCCCGUUCACACAUAAUUUUGGGAUUAACUUUCCAACAAUGGGUUUCCAGGGCACAACCAUUGAAACCAUACUAUGAAGUGACUUUUAAAGUUGAAUGAAAAUCGCUAGCAUCAUCUACUUUUCUAAAGUGGCCUUAAAAAACGAGUCUGUCACAAGGAGAGAGAGAGGAAGCUUCUUCGAGACACCUGACUGAUGUCCUCCAGCCUGGAUGUUGGUUUAUUUUCAAGUUUCCCCUUUAGAUUUCAGGCAGAGAAUGUUGAGGUAGGGGACUUAGUGUUGUGGUAUUCAUGUAUUUUAUGUCCUCUAGGCUGUGGUGAAUGCAGACAUGGGAAGAAGUGGUCACGUGGAAAGUGAGUUCAAAAAGAGAGAGAGAACAUGAAAAUGGGGACAUCUUCUAUCAUUGGAAGUAGAAGGCACGAGGGAAAAGAUAGUCGUCCACCUCCCCUUGAGGGCUCACAUCCAGCAGUCAAUGGGGCGCCCCAGGAUCCACAAGCAGCUUAUAGUAGGUGGCGGCAGCAACAACAACACAGGAAACAGAUGCCCUGGCUCAGGUUCCUGUUCUCCCAAAAGAGCUGCCCCUGGCCAUGGCUUCUGGGAAUUCAGGGCCUCCUCGCGCUGGGCACCUAGGCCCAGGGAGACCUCCCUGGAUUGCCCCUUAGUGGGUCCCUCCGCUCCAGUCCAAGCAGCUCCUAUGGAGGCCCCGCCCCACGACUUCCUCUGACACCAGCUCCUGCCGACCGCUAGUCCCCUCAGGUCCCUGGCUCUCCGGGUUCUUUGCUGAGAGCGCGCCAGAGCCCAGGUCUCCCUCAGGACCCUGGGAGAAGGCCAGGAGGCCCAGAGGGCAGCCCAAGCCGCUUGGAACUCGCUCCUUGAAACAUAGAUCCUCCCCACAGCGAGGCCCCUGGGAAGGAGGCUUGAGUGGCGCAGGGCGUCUUGAAACUGGUUCCGCACGGUGGCGGUAGAGCUCCAGCUAUGGCCACCAGCCCUGGGCCUGAGCGCGCCUCUCCCGCCCUGGCUGUCUGAAAAAACGCCACCCACACAAAGGCACCAGGCAACAUGGCCGCCCUGUCCUUGGCCCAGUUCUGAGGAAGCAGCUCCCGAUGCUGCUUUUGCUUUUUCAGUAUUUGUGGCUUUUGGUUCACGAUGUUUGCCUCUGUCGUGAUUCUGCCCGAGACAGGCUUUGCCGUGUUGCCCAGGACCAGCUGGAAAUCGUGGUGCCAGUGCAGCAGCUUCCAGCUCCUCUCUCCUGUUGUUUUCCAUCUGAACUCUGACCAAGGCCUGAGUGCCAUCCUCCCCUGGGCCUCCCCUCUCUCUGGUGGAACGUUCAGGGGGGCCCUGCUCAUUCAGUCUAUUCUGAGUUGAACUGCACUCAGUCUUCCUCCCUCUGUAGUUUGUGAGUGCUCAGACCAGGUGAGAGAAACGACACGGUUCAGUUUGUUUUAUGUUCUUUUUAAGACUUGAGAAGCUUGGAAACACAGGCAUUAAUACAUUCUGCCUUCUAGAGAACCCGUAUGCAUAGGUUGAUGUGUCUUAGUCUAGGUUCUGUUGCUAUAACAAAAAUACCUAAGCUGAGUAUAUUGUAAAGAGUAGACAUUUCUCGGCCUCGUAGUUCUGGAAAAUCGAACGUCUAAGAACAUGGUGUCGGGGUCUACUGAGCUUUUGUGAGGGUCUUCUUGCUAAGUAAUAACCUGGAGGAGGUCAUCACAAGGAGAGACAGGAAGCUUCCUGGUAGCACCUGGCCUUCAUAGCAAAGUCACUCCCAAGAAAACCUAUAAGUCUAUGAGUAGACUGAACUGGACUCUGCAUGAAGGCAGAGUCCUCAUGAGCCAAUCACCUCCCGGUGUUUCUUCAAGUCCCAGUAAGAUAUAAUUUCAGGAAUUGAGUUUCCAACAGAGGAUUUCCAGGACACAGCCACUGAAACCAUACCAUGAAGAAACUUUUUCAACUUGAAACAAAAGCGCUAGGGGAACCUCCUUUUUAAAUCCCCAUUGAUGAGGGUUUAUUUUCAACAUUCCCCUAUAGAUUUCAGGCUGGGAAAUUUGAGGUGGGAGACUUGGUGGUGGUGAUAUUCAUGUACCUUAUGUCCUGUCAGCUGUGGUGAAUGCAAAUCUGGUCUAAUCUCAACAACGGUAUACCCAUGCAUUAAAAUUUCAUAGAGAUUUAUUUUUAUGUCGAGACGAAAUGUUGAUGAAAAGUAUGGGGAUGGAGCUUUUUUUCUCAUGGGCACAUGCCUGUUUUCUGACUCCCUGGCAGGCAUCAUUCCUGAAUCUACUAAUAGAGGAUAUCACAAAUCAUGUGAUGAAAUAUAAAAUGGAGUGUCUGGGGCUAAAACUCAGUGGCAGAUAGCUGGCCUAGCUUAAGUGAAGCUUGGACCAGAGCAAAGCACUAUAAAUGCAGAGUACUAGUGUAGAACAUGGAGCAUUAGGGAUAGCACUUCAUAAAUACCAAACAAAUAA
Molecule: non-coding RNA, 2749 nt
Organism: Marmota flaviventris (yellow-bellied marmot)
Lineage: Eukaryota; Metazoa; Chordata; Mammalia; Rodentia; Sciuridae
Source: RefSeq, a predicted model, not a curated record